GAGAUUUUGAUCUAUGUUAUACAGUAACCACAACAAAUAGGUAAAGCACAGAAUUGAUUAAAAAUAUGAAGUCAGCCAGUUGUGGUGGCUCACACCUGUAAUACCAGCACUUUGGGAGGCUGAGGCAGGCAGAUCACCUGAGGUCAGGAGUUCAAAAGCAGCCUGGCCAACAUGGUGAAACCCCAUCUCUACUAAAAAUACAAAAAUUUUCCCAGCGCAGUGAUGUGUGCAUAUAAUCCCAGCUACUCAGGAGGCUGACACAGAAGAAUCACUUGAACCCGGGAGGCGGAGGUUGUAAUGA
Molecule: long non-coding RNA, 301 nt
Filed under: Homo sapiens (human)
Lineage: Eukaryota; Metazoa; Chordata; Mammalia; Primates; Hominidae
Description: non-protein coding lnc-NEGR1-5:1
Source: RNAcentral